CCUACGGGAGGCAGCAGUGGGGAAUCUUGCGCAAUGGGCGAAAGCCUGACGCAGCCAUGCCGCGUGAAUGAUGAAGGUCUUAGGAUUGUAAAAUUCUUUCACCGGGGACGAUAAUGACGGUACCCGGAGAAGAAGCCCCGGCUAACUUCGUGCCAGCAGCCGCGGUAAUACGAAGGGGGCUAGCGUUGCUCGGAAUUACUGGGCGUAAAGGGAGCGUAGGCGGACAUUUAAGUCAGGGGUGAAAUCCCGGGGCUCAACCUCGGAAUUGCCUUUGAUACUGGGUGUCUUGAGUAUGAGAGAGGUAUGUGGAACUCCGAGUGUAGAGGUGAAAUUCGUAGAUAUUCGGAAGAACACCAGUGGCGAAGGCGACAUACUGGCUCAUUACUGACGCUGAGGCUCGAAAGCGUGGGGAGCAAACAGGAUUAGAUACCCUGGUAGUCCACGCCGUAAACGAUGAUUGCUAGUUGUCGGGAUGCAUGCAUUCGUGACGCAGCUACGCAUAAGACAUCCGCCGUGGGAGGUACGGUCGCAGAAUUAAACUUAAUAGAGUAGACGNGUGAGAGUGCGAGACGACGACGAGGGAGAGG
RNAcentral lists this ribosomal RNA (587 nucleotides) under uncultured bacterium. Its description in RNAcentral is "bacterial SSU rRNA". It matches the Rfam family "Bacterial small subunit ribosomal RNA", at positions 338 to 947 of the family's 1533-position model. The record is from RNAcentral.